Molecule: microRNA precursor, 103 nt
Filed under: Marmota monax (woodchuck)
Lineage: Eukaryota; Metazoa; Chordata; Mammalia; Rodentia; Sciuridae
Source: RNAcentral
AUAGUGAUCAUCUGGGGAUCUUGUUUAAACAGAUUCUAAUUCGGUAGGCUUGGUGUGGGGCCCAGGACUCUGAAUUUUUAACAGGUGCCCAAGUAAUGCAGGU